RNAcentral lists this ribosomal RNA (526 nucleotides) under uncultured bacterium. RNAcentral describes it as "bacterial SSU rRNA". It matches the Rfam family "Bacterial small subunit ribosomal RNA", at positions 96 to 634 of the family's 1533-position model. The record is from RNAcentral.
CGGCGAACGGGUGAGUAACGCGUGGGCAACCUGGCCUUAAGAAAAGGAUAGCCCCCGGAAACGGGGGAGUAAUACUUUAUGAGAAUGAGAGAGGGCAUCCUACUUUCAUUCAAAGCGCAAGCGCUUAAGGAUGGGCCCGCGUAUCAUUAGCUAGUUGGUGAGAUAACAGCCCACCAAGGCAACGAUGGAUUAGCCGGUCUGAGAGGGCGAACGGCCACAUUGGAACUGAGAGACGGUCCAAACUCCUACGGGAGGCAGCAGUGGGGAAUAUUGCGCAAUGGAGAAGAACUCUGACGCAGCAAUACCGCGUGAGCGAAGAAGGUCUUCGGAUCGUAAAGCUCUGUUAUCAGGGAAGAAGAAAAUGACGGUACCUGAUGAGCAAGUCCCGGCUAACUACGUGCCAGCAGCCGCGGUAAUACGUAGGGACAAGCGUUGUCCGGAAUCACUGGGCGUAAAGGGCGCGCAGGCGGUGAUUUAAGCAGGAUGUGAAAGGCUACGGCUCAACCGUAGACAUGCACCCUGAACG